Molecule: long non-coding RNA, 541 nt
Organism: Cucurbita maxima (winter squash)
Lineage: Eukaryota; Viridiplantae; Streptophyta; Magnoliopsida; Cucurbitales; Cucurbitaceae
Exons: 4
Source: RefSeq, a predicted model, not a curated record
AUGGGAAUAUCAUAGCUAUCACAGUCGUCACUAUGACAUAUGCUGUCCUCCAAAUCAAUCUGAAGUAGCUGAGCGGAUACUCUCCAUUAAAAGGAGUUGGGAACUGAUCAAUUGAUUUCACCUGGUAAGCACCAACUAGGUGAACAGCAAUGCAGAUAUUGGCGAAGUCAAUGAGCCAAAAGGGCUCGUAGAAUCCGAAGCCAGUAAGGAAAUUUCCUGGUGCAUUGUUUCCGAAUGCUGCAUAACCAACACAACCACAGAGUAUGUAGAAAAGACUGGUGGUUGAGAUGCCGACAAAAGUUGCCCUCUUCAUUGCUUUGUUUUCUGGUGGGCUUGAUCUCAAUGUGUCCUGUAAAUUCAUGGGAACAGGGACAUGCUGGGCCAAACCUUGGCCGGGGGAGUGAUGCAAGCGACAAGAGUUGGAACAUCAUCAAAAUGGGGUCCACAGGAAGAAGUUUGUUGGACCGUCGUCUCAAAUCCAUUCGAAACUCUGUGAUGGUGAUGUAAUGAAUCUGCACCCAAACCCAGAAAGAAAUGAAGA